This 16254-nucleotide long non-coding RNA is filed under the name Homo sapiens (human). RNAcentral describes it as "HSALNT0080188". Lineage: Eukaryota; Metazoa; Chordata; Mammalia; Primates; Hominidae. The record is from RNAcentral.
GCGGAGCUUGCAGUGAGCUGAGAUCGUGCCACUGCACUCCAGCCUGGGUGACAGAGCGAGACUCCGUCUAAAAAACAAUAAAGAAAAAAAACCCUGUAUAUAUUGUUCCUGUUGUAAACAUACCAUUUACCCUAGAAAGAAUAGUCCUCCUGUGAUUGUGUAGUAUUUCUUAAAUCUGAAUUUGGUCAAAGUAUUUGGUAAUGUUGGUCCAUAUAUAUUUUUAUUUGUUUUUCCAGUUCCAUUUAUUGCCCAGAAAAGGUAUAUGUAAAAUGACUAAACAUAUUUAUGGACAUAUCUCCUCCUUCCUUUGAUUCUGUCCAUUUUAUAUUUUUUCUUGUAGUUUCAAGCUCUGUUAUUAGGCACAUGUACAAUCAUGUUUGUUAAGUCUUCAUGAUGAACUGAACUUUAAUUUUUAUGAGGUGCUCCUCUUAUCUCAGGUAGUAUUUUAACAUAAUUUUUCUGUGAUUAAUGUGGUCACUGCAGCUAUCAUGUGUCUACUAUUUGCAUGGUAUAACAACUCGGAAUGUGUACUUUUGUCCUAUGUGUAUUUUUAUUAUUAUAAUGCAUUUUUAGGUGACCAUUACUUGGGUCUCACUUUUUUAUUUAUUGUGACAACAUUUGCAUUUUAGUUGGUAUACUCUGUUAAAUAAUAUUUAAUGUAAUUUUCGAACUGUUGGAUUGAAGUCUCCAAGUUUUCUAUGCAUUUUUCUGUUAGCCUUUUCUGGUUUCAGUUCCAUUGUUCUCCCCUUCUGUCUUAAGUUAGGUUAUUUUAAAUAUUGCUUUUAAUUUAUCUGUUGGAUAUUUAGAUAUACUUUUUUACCAUGUAAUUAAAAAAUAUUUGUUCUAGUGAUUUCCGUAUACAUGCUUACUUUUCACAGUCUAACUAGAGUUGGCUUUAUACUACAUCAUGCAAAAAUAAUAAAUGUUGAACAACAGAGAGAUUAUCUACCACUGGGUAUGGUCACAGCAUGCCUGUAACCCCAGAUACUCAGGAGGCCGAGCAGGAGAAUGGCUUGAGCCCAGGAGUUGGAAACCAGCCUGGACAAUAUAGCAAGACCCCAUAUGAAAAAGAUAUUUUUUAAAAAAGAUGCUCUCAAUAAAAUUUGGAAUCUUUCUGGAAAUUACUCUAUGGCACUUUCAGGUAUUUUUCAUUCUCUGUGUUAGAUAUUUUUGAAUCACAGUCAUUUUCUCUGUUCUAUUUACUCUGAAACAUUUUUCACACUUAACACUUGUAUCUUUCAUUUAGGUCCUUAGAAUGACUGUCAAUACCUAGAUUUAUGUUUUAUAAUUAUCCAGAACUUCACCAAAGAUUGCUAUGUCUCUUUCAGCAGCCUAACCAGAAUAUGUAAUACUAAUUAUUACAUAUAAUAAUCACAUAUAAUUAAAUACAUAAUUGUAGUUUUCUUUUGCUUUAGUUUACUUUUCUACCAAUCCAGUUUGAGUCUGGUCUUUUUCCUGAUUUUCUAAACAAACCUCAUUUUUAGAUAAAUAUUAUUUUGGGAAGAAGUCCUUUGAAUAUAUUUCUUAGACUGAAUUCAAAAUACUUUACUGAUUUUUUAAUUUGAACCUCCAAAAUGGAAUAGUACCUAUUUAAUAAAAAAGAAACAUUAAUACCUACAUCCAGUGCUUUAAAUUAUCUCCUGAACACUGCUUUCAAUGUAUCCCACAACAUUUGAUAAGUUGUAUUUUUAUUUUCAUUUAGUUUUGAGUAUUUUAAAAAUUUCUUUAGAGACUUCUUAUAAUCUGUGUUUUUUUUUUUUUAGUAGUAUGUGGUUUAAUCUCCAAAUAUUUGGGGAUUUUCUAGCUAUUAUUUUGUUAUUGAUUUCUAAUUUAAUUCCAUUGUGGUCGGAGGACAUAGUUUGUAUGAUUUCUAUUCUUUCACUUCUUUUAAGUACGUUUUAUGGCCCAGAAUGUGGUCUUUCUUGGUAAAUGUUACAUAUAAUCAUUAGAAACAUGUGCAUUCUACUGCUGUUAUUUGUGAAGUUGUUUAUAAAUACCAAGUAAAUCAAGUUGAUUAAAGGGGCAACUCAGGUCAACUAUAUUUUACUGACUUUCUGCCUGCUUGAUGUAUCAAUUUCUGAAACGGGGUUAUUUCAUCCUCAAGCAUAAUCAUGGAUUUGUCUAUUUCUCCUUGCUGUUUCAUCAGUUUUUGCCUCAGAUAUUUUCACCUCUGUUGGUAGGUGUAUACAUGUUAAGAACGAUGAUGUCUCUUUGAAGAACUAACCCUGUUUUGAUUAUGAAACAUCCUUGCUGAUAAUUUUCUGUUUUCUAAAAUCUGCUCUGCUUUGUCUAAUAUUAAUAGUUUGUCUAGCUUUUUGUUUUAUUAAUAUUAGCAUGGAAUAUCUUCUUUUAUUCCUUUACUUUUAACCUAUUUAUAAUUUGUCUAUUUAAGGGUUUUUUUUUAGACAACAUAGAGUUGGAUAAUUUUUUUAAAUCUAGUCUUCUAGUCUCUAUUUUUAAAUUAAUACAGUUAGGCCAUUGAUAUUUAAAUUGAUUAUUGCUAUUAUUACAUUAAUAUUUACCAUCUUUGAAAUUUUUCUAAUUCAUUACACUUGCUCUUUUCUUCUUCUCUCUCUUUGUGGUUUGAGUUGUGCAUUAUUAUGUGAUUGCAUUUUAUCUUCUUUUUUAAUAUGUCAACUUUACUUCUAUUAUAACAUUUUUUAGUGCUUACCCUAGAAUUAGCAGUAUACAUGUCCAAUCAAAGCCCACUCACAAAUAAUAUAUUAAGCUUCAUGUGUAAUUAAGGUAUAUUAUCAGGGAGUAAUCCCAAUUCCUCUCUCCCAUUCCUUGUAACAUUGUUGUCAUUCACUUUAUUUAUUUAUCAUUUAUUUAUAUGACAUAAUCAUGUAGUAUAUUACUGAUAUUAAUAUUUCAACAGUCAUUUAGAUCAACAAAAUAUUAGAAAAAUAAAAUAUUCUGUUUUAUCUUUCUUUAUUCCUUCUCUGAUUCUCUUUCUUUAAUCAAUCUGAGUUUAUGAUCUAUAUUGUUUUCUUUCCUCUGAAGAUUUUCCAACCAUUUUUUGCACAGCAAGAAAUUUGAGAAGUUAAAUUGGCAGUUAAUUAUCUGUUUUUUAAAGUUUGUGUGACAAGGUCUAUUUCUUGUUCACAUUGAAAAAUAAUGUUGCUGUAUGUAGAAUUCUAAGUUGGUAGAGUUGUGCUCAAUUCUCUUAUUUGCAAUGCUUGUAAAGAAAAGUGUAAUAUAAUUCUUUCCCUUGUUCUUCUAUAUCUAAGUUUUUUUUCCUCUAUUUGAUUUAACAUUUUUUAUUUUCUCUAUUAUUAUUUAUUUAUUUAUUUUGUAAUUUAAACCUGCUAUACUAUACACAGGUGAAGAUUUUUUAGUAAUUGCCCUGUUUGGUUGUGCUCUGAGUUCCAGCCAUGGUUUGGUUUGGCAUUAAUUUUGCAAAAAUCUCACCCAUUAUUACUUAAAAUAUUUCCUCUGCUUAUUUCUCUUUCCCUUUCUUUUUUUUUAGCUUUUAUUUUUGGUAUUUCCAUUAUGAAGAUGAUACCUUUUGCAAUUGUUUUACUGUCUUUGAAUAUUCUGUUCUAUAUUUUAAAAUUUGUUUUUAUUUUUGUGUUUCAACUUUAGUCAUGUCUACUAAUAUUUCAAGGACACCAAUUCAGUGGUGGUCAGUCUACUGAUGAGUAUAUCAAACACAUUCUUCAUCUCUGUUACAGGUUAUUUUUGUUUGUUUUUGUAGCAUCUCCUUGUGACUCUUUUGUGGAACUCCUACCUCUCUUGUUCUUGCAGGCUGUCUACAUUUUCCAUAGAGCAUUAAAUAUUAAAAUUAGUCCAUUUAUAUCCCCAAUCUGAUGACUUCAAAAUCCCUGUUGUACCUGAGUCUGGUUCUAUUGCUUUAUUUUUCUCUUCAAGCUAUGAAUUUUCUUGUGUUUUAGCAUGUUUUAUAACUUUUUGUUGAAAGCUGAGCAUGAUGUAUCUGGUAAUGAGAACUAAGUUAAAUAGCCCUCUGGUGUGGGUUUUGUGUUACUCUGGCUAGGACUUAGGCUGUGUUUUAUUUCUGCUGUAGCAGUAGGUGUCAGAGGCCUUAAUUUCUUCUUACAUACUUUUUUUCUUCUUUAUUGUCAUUAGGUUUCCCUAAAAACUUAUUUUUAUAAAUAAAUUUUGCUUUUUGCAGCUCUUUCAGCUGUAUCAGCAGCUGAAAUGCUGCUAUGAUACUGGAGUUGUGUUCAUGUGGUGAUAUGGUGGUAUGGGAGAGAAGCAUUCUGUAAUACUAUGAUAAAUCUUAGUCUUUAGUAGCCCUGUAUUACUGGUCCUAAUCUUCACAAAUAUUUUUCAGUUAUUUUUCCCCACCUUAGUUGAGAAAGUAAGGCUAGAGGGGUUGGAAUUGGGUAAGGCUUCUCCAAUGUCUUUGACCUUGUUCAGUGGGCCUUUGCCACAAAGAGUGCUGAGGGUUUAUUCAAAAAUGACUACUUUUCCCAAGAGUAUUCUUGGCCCUUUUCAUUGUGAAAACAGGUGGGGUUACUGGAGGAAAAGCCCAUGAAAGAUUGGAGGAAAAAACCUAAGACAGAGUUCCAGAAAAUUCUCACUUUCACACUAGUCCAUACUCUGCCUCCAGCACUGAGUCUCAGUUACCAUUUAAGUGUUCCUACCAGUUUAUAGCUCUAAAGGAUUUUAAUCCAGAUAAGCUGAUCUCAGAGGUGGGUCUCUGUAUUCUCUGGGAUCUCCAUCUUAGUGGUGUUAGUUUGCCCUAUGACCUAAAUAUUCUGAUAGCUCUCAGAAGAGUUACUGAGUUUCAGUUUGUUCAGUUUUUUCUUGGUUUAAGGACAAAUGUGACAACUUCAAAGUUCCUUAGAUGUCGACUAAAAUUGGAAGUCAUAACAUCCAUUAUUUUUUUCCUCCCCCUCUGUUUGAUUAAUUCAUGACUCAGCUGUGGUUGAAAUUCUACUCUUGGUCUUUGAAUUUCAAAAUUACAGUCAAACAUAGUAUCAUUAAAAUAACAGGUACAAUUUGAGAGAUUAUGCCUAUGACUGACUAAAUACUCAUACGCAGUCACAGGAAUGCACGUACUGCUAAUCCGAACUCUUUCUUACCAAAAAAUCAGCAGCUCAAAACGAGAAGAAAAAAAAAUGAAUUUUGAAAUUGCUAGACAGCUAACCUAAAGCCUAGACCUCUGUUUAUCAAUGUAUACUCUUGUAAGCCAUUCAGGGCUUAUAAUGAAAACAAUCUUGAGAAAUUUUAAUGUGAAUCCCUCUGACUUUUCUACCUUGACCAAGGAUAAAUGUCCAUAAUUAUCUCUUGGAUCCUAAGGCUUUUCAUUUACUCUUUGUUGACUACAUCACCAUCUUCUGUAACUGCAUUUUGAUUUGCAUUUAUUUGCAAUGUUUGUGCUAUCUGUGGACCAUUUAUGAGCAGAAGCUGAAUAAUUUUUUAUUGUUCUUAUUCUAAUGCAUCUCAUAUAUCAGAAAAAUAAGUAUGCCUUAUUAAUGUCUGUAAACGUAAUGCAUUUCUAGAGAGCACUGCUUUUAUGGCUUUGAGUUACUUUGAUUUAGAGGGUUUAAAAGGAAUUGCAUAUGAUGUAACAUAUUUGAAAGUGUCUAUGUAGGUAGAAAAGUUUCUGAAUUAAUUCACCUUAAAUGUUAAAAAUAUUCUAGCUAAAGAGAAUGAACUUUUUCCCAAAUAAACAGAAAAAAAUAUGGAUAUAUCUUUUGCCAAAGGGUUAGAAAAAUUAGAAUCAUUUAAUUACAAGUCCAUGCAUGUAUAGCACAUGAUAUAUAAUUUCUUAAGUAUAGAUUAAUGCUGUAAAUAAACUUCCAUUAUAUAAAUGAAUAAAUUUCCUUAACACCCCGUUAUUGUACAAUUCAUUUUGGCAUAAGAUGAUACUAGAGAGUAUUUUCAAAUGAAGCUCCAUAUUUCUAAAAUAUUAAUAAAAAUAAAAUCUCAAAAUGUUGCUUGUUGAUGAAAUUUCAAAUAUUUGGAAAGUUUGUUAAGUUACCUUGUUAAGUUACCUUGUUCUACCUAGUUGUUAAGCUAACUAUGUUCUUUGAUUAUGGAUGUAUAAAAUUCUUUAACAUGAUUUUUAAAAAUUCAUUUCCAUUUAUAUUGAAAAAUAUAGUAAAUUCGUAUGUAGAAGAAAUACAUCAAACAAUUUUCCCAUUAAUUUUAUCUUAUUCAGGUUGAACCCAUUGUAUUUUUGCAUAUUAAUUGACUGAAUAUAUUUGUAACUUACAGCUUUUAUUUUUACUGCUAAUAAUAAAAAUAAUAUGUUAGAGGCUUUGUAUGUAUUAAAUCACUGAAACUCUCUGCAACUUUAGGAAAUAGUUUAUAUUAAACCCAUUUUAUAGAUGACAAAAUUGAGUUAGACAAGUUAAGUAACUGCUCAGAGCUUUAUAUACACUAAAUAUCAGAAUUAGGCUUUAUCUCAGAACUCUUUGACUCCAAGAUACAGGAAAUUAAGAACUAUUAUACUUUCUCUAUUUCUAAAUGUAAUACAAUUCACACAUUUUAAAUAUCUUAAGUGUCAAUAUCUGCCGUACAUUAAAACAAGCUACAUCAGAGAAAGUUUAUUGUCUUUUUAAGUAUUAUUUGGAAAAAAAUCUUAACUAUGUACAUAUAUAUUUAAAACUACCUAGAAUAUAUUUUCAACAAUAGAAAAUCAAAUGAAGUAAUAAAUGCUGUGGUCCGAAUAUCUGUGUCCUCUUCAGAUUUUUAUGUUGCAAUCUUAACCUUAAGUUAAUGGCAUUAAGAGGUAAGUCCUGUGGGAGGUGAUACACUGAUGGGGACAUCCCAUUAAGUAACCAGUGGGCUAAGGCAGCUCAUUUGCCAUUUCUACAGUGUGAGAAUGCAGCAACAAGGUGCCAGCUAUGAAGCAAAGAGCCCUUACCAGACAAUGAAUCUACUGACAACUUGAUCUUGGACUCUUCAGCUUCCCAAACUGGUUACCAACUAUAUCACAUAAUGGUCCUAAGGAUUAAAUGAAAAAAAAUGCAGUAAGAUAAAGCUGAUUUAUCAAGGUUGGGGAAAUGCAAUAAAGAAAGAGGUUAAUAAUUCACAGAGCCAGCUGAAUAGAAUACCAGAGUUUUAUUUCUACACAAAUCAGUCUCCCAGCCAUGGUCCAGGCUUGAGGGUGGAGCCCUCACGAGAGACCUCACCAUUUUCUACCUAGUAUUUCCCUGUCUCCUGUCUAUAUCGCAGAGCAUUAAAUUGAAGCCAAGGGACUGAAAUAAGAAACUCCAGAGAACAACAAGAGGAACUGAAAUUGCAUGGUCAUUAGAAGGCAUCUUAAGAAUAACUGUGUAGCAGAGAAUGAGGACUCAUAUCAAAGUUUGAUUCUUUUAGUAUUGGAUUUUAUGUUCUGAAGGUUAGGACUGAACGUCUCCUGGAGCCAUUAUGCAGCCUACCACACUUGCUAUAUCUUCCAGAAUUUUGGAGGAAGUAAUUCAUUCUGUCAGCUUCCGGCUGGAAAAUGUUAUCAUGUGUCACCUCAAUAUGUGUCAUCUCUGAUACUUCUACAAUUGAAGAGAUACUCUUCCUAUCUAAGGCAAUUCUUGGACCACGUGAUAUGUCUUGGUGGCUCCUCCAGAGAAAAACUCUAUUAUACUAUGUGCAUAAUGUAUAUAUGGUAAAAUAUCUAUGUAUAUAUGGAUAUAUUUUUAAGCAGAAAUAUUUUCUUUUAUUACAAACACAUAUGUGUGACUAGUAUUUAAAAAAUGGCAAAUAGGGAUGGCUUACAUAAAUUCAAUCAUUUAAGCAGAGUGUGUGUGUGUGUUGAAGUAAUUAAGCAGUGAGCCCAUCCUAGACCAGGUACCUGCAGAAAAAUAUCUUAUACUAUGUAUAUAAAAUAGAAAGAUGUGCUACUUGUUACACAAUUGGGGUAUACGUCCACCAGUUUUGCUCUGCUGCAGUUUUAGGGUAUGCUCAGCAGGUAGGGUCACUGGUGGCUAAAAUUCCAUUUUUAAGAUCUUUAAAUAGAGGCAUUACUUUGAUUUUUUUUUACAGAUAUUUAUCAUGUGAUGGUAAGUGCAUUUAAGGUUACAAUAUACAUUCUCAUAUAUUUAAGACUUCAUUUGCUUUAGAUUUUUUUAUCUGGCAAUAAUAGAAAACAAUUUUUGGCUGUGAUAAAAGUGGCCUGUUUUCUCUGAUCUCUAUGCAUCUCAAGGCCACUGCUGAACUCCUCAGCUCAUAUGACAGUUUCAGCUCAUGACAGACAGAUGUUACUCCUCUUCUUUCCUGUCCUGAUACAGUAUUUAAAUGAGUGGUUUUAAGAUUCUUCUUUCCUGCCCUGAUAUAGUAUUUAAAUGAGUGGUUUUAAGAUUCAUACUAACUGCCUGUAUAUGUCAUGACUGUUUUGUUAUUGCAUGCUUGCUUAUUUGUGUAUCAUCUAUCUAUCUAUCUAUCUAUCUAUCUAUCUAUCAUCUAUCAUCUAUCUAUCUAUCAUCUAUCUAUCUAUCUACAUUACUUCUCAGCUGAUUUAAUUUUCUCAAUGCCAACAUUAACAGUGAAUCCUCUGAAAGCCUACCAGAAGAAACUGAGUCAUAGGAAUACAGAUGAUCCUUGACUUACAAUGAUUUAACAUGAUUUCUCAAACUAUGAUAGAUUUAUUGGGGGUAUUAAAUGCAUUUCAACUUACAAUAUUUUUAACUUGGGGUGGACUUAUCAGAUCCUAACCCCACUGUAAGUCAAGGAGCAUCUGUACAACUUUCCUUGUAGGCAGUUUAAUUAUGAAUGUCAUAAACUAUUAUGACAUUUUUUAUACCGUUGGAUCCAUUUGGGGAAACUUCUAUUGGGAUUCAAUUCCACUGAAAUUCUAUUCCAUUGGCUAAAUUGGGGGAGAUAUUUGUUAAUUUUUUAUAUAUUUAGGGGCUUUUGUUUGGCAAAAACUUAUCUCUAAGAGAAGUUCACAUUCCAUCUGCUCUGCCUUUUUUUUUUUUUUUUUUCUUUUGAGACAGAGUCUCACUCUGUUGCCCAGGCUGGAGUGCAGUGAACUCUGCCUUCAGGAAUAAAAAAAGUGUAUCAAUUUGGACAGUUAAUUCAAGAACAUUGAGUUAACCUUCCUAGAUGAUGGAUUUAUCAAAGAAUUUAAAAACACGUUUGCAUUAAGGCAAACACACUUAUUUAACUUUUCUCUGGAACUGGCUGAGAUGUAAACUUUGGUGUGUUUUUAUCUCUGUAAUAGGUAAUAAUUGCAACACAGAUGCCAAGAAAGGGUCUUGAGUAUAAAGAAAUUGCUUUACUGACAUGCAGAUUGAUGAUCAAAUACUAUUUUUGUUCCAUUUCCUCAUUAUUCUUUCAUUUUAUCUCAGCAAAUAGUUAUAGCUAGAUUAAUUCAAUAAUUCAGUAAUUGCCAGACUGAAAAUAACAUUAGAAAUACAAUCUCUUGCUGUCAACUUCAAAGAAAUUCUACUCCUGUAAUAAUUAGGAAAAAAGUGUAAUUCAAAGAUGUUCUGUUUUUUUGAGAAAUACUUUACUUCAUUAAAUUGGAAGUAAGUAGGACAGAAAAAAAUAGUUGAUGUCAUUCUCUCAACAGGGUGCAUAACAAAAUAUAAAAAUUAGUUAUUAAGUCCAGUCAAAUCAAAUAUCAGGCUGACAGAAUUAGAUUUUCCAUUUGGGGUACAAGCUAAAUGCAGGUAAUUAAUAGUAAAGGACUAAUUCCAAGUUCUUUAAACCCCACAUGAAAUAUGAAGCAUAUUUCAAAAAUAAGAUUUCUCUGUGAAAGAUACAAACUGUCUAUAAAGCACUUACCAGGAAUGUUAUCUAAAUUCAAAUAAUUUUUGAAUAAUAUCCAUUGUAACUUUGUAGAUAUUUUUAUCAUUUCAUGAAGAAUGUUAUAACAUAGGCUUUGAGAAAUUAAACAUUUCUCUAAAAUGCUGGAUAUAUUUUCUCAUAUUAUCAUUUGAUAUUAUAUUAAACAGGAUAAAAUGAUAACACAAAUAUUACUUUUAGUGCUCACUUUUUUUACCUUUUAAUGUCUGUAAAACUAAGGUGCUUUUAUAAUUUGGUAAUAUGCCACAAUUUCAUUGGGUGCGUUGUAAAUAUUUGGUCUACAGGCUGCAAAAAAGUGUAAUUGUCUUUUGGAAUAAAUGGCAUUUUGAGGUUCAUUAAAAGUGGUGUGGAUGAUGAAAAGUAAUUGUAAGAGUAAGAAAAUUAUUUUUCUUAGAUCAUUAAAAACUCCAUAUUUUAAAGCUUAAUUCUUAUAUAUUAAAACAUUUUAAAAAUAUAAUUGAAAUAUAACCAAUGUUAUGAAAUUCUGUUUCGUGUUCUGUAGAGCAGCUAUUUAUUAUAAUGUAGACACAAAUCAGUCAUAAUAUAUUUGUAAGCAGAAAAGUAGUUAAUAGGAUUAUGUAAAUUGGUAUAUUUUGAACCUUGCUGUACAGUACUUGGCCAAAAGCUUCAUAAAAAACUACUGUGCCUGAAAAUGGCAUCAGAUUUAUUAACACAAAAUAUGAUUUAAGUGAUUUUCUAACAACAUUUUAAGGUAGCCUCUAUGAUCCUCAAAAUAGUUGACAUAAUAAUAAUAUUCCUUUAUAAUAUAAUUCAUAUUUAUUUAAAGAAAUAUAUGAAUUUAUAAGUGGCAUGUUACAAACAUAUAUGAAAUGAAAAUAAGGUAAUAAUGUUUUUAUCAAUUACUUUUGAUAGCAUCCUUAAUGGACACAUAUUUCUAUCUCCUUAGUGUGUAAAUACAAAUAUUUUAUAUAUGUCUUGAGGGAAGUUUUAGAAAAACAGAUGUGUAGGACAUUUUGGUAUUGAAAGUGAAUUAUCAUUUUGAAAAAGCUAUCUGGAAUGAAUUCAUUCAUAAAACAAACACAAAUGUCAUAUUAAAAUUUUAAUGGUGCUGGGCAUGGUAGCUCAUGCACCAAUUUGGAAGGCCAAGGCAAGAGGAUUGCUUGAGCCUAGGAGUUCAAGACCAGCCUGGGCAACAGAGUGAGAGACCUCAUCUCUACAAAACAUUAAAAAAAUUAGCCAGUGUGGUGUCAUCCAUGUGUAGUCCCCGCUACUCAGGAGGUUACAGUGGUGUAAUUUCUUGAGCUCGGGAGAUCAAGGCUGCAGUGAGCCAUGAUGGUGCCACUGCACUCCAGUCUGGGCAACAGGGCAAGACCCCAUCUCAAAAAAAAAAAAAAGUUUUGAUGGGAGUUUAUCUGUAAAAACAAAAAUUCUAAAAAUUUCUAUUUACAUUAUAUUUAAUACAUUUUAGAUUAUAAUAAAUUUUUUAAAGUGUCAAAUGAACAAAAUGAUGAAUCAGGUGCUAAAAUUUUUUUGCCAUAGGUAUCUGACAAUACUAGCAAGAUAAAUCUUCCUUCACUUCAGAUUGAACUUUCGUAGUCUGAUUACAAAAUGUUUAUUUUGCCAAAAUAUCUGAAGGCCUGAUGCCUCUAUUAUUCAUUCUAAUGCUAACUGACUUUCUUUUAAAGGAUUUAGCAUACUAUUAUUUUUACUGAUUUUUAUCUUUUUCACCACUUUAAUGACCAGGUGUCCAAUGGUCAAUGAUUUUGUACAUUUUGGUAUUUAUCUGAUAUUGUCAAAUGUUUGAUUUGAUUUGCUUCAUCUGAUUUCUUUUAAAUGCAAUUACUUAACUUUGUGGAUCUCUGUAUCUUCUAACACAUUCAUUAUUAUGUGUCCCAGAUAAGUUAUUCAACUGAUUUAAUUUGUCACAACUUCUUAGAGGUAGAAAUAAUACAAUCUUGCAAUAAUUAUAUAUAAAUAAGAGAUAUUUACAUUGGCAUUGAUACAUAUAUGCAUAUUAGUUUUCUAGCCAUAAUCAAUUAGCACAGAUUUGCUAGCUUAAAUAACAGAAAUUCAUGUUCUCACAAUUCUGGGGGCCAUAAGUGAAGGGUGUCAGGAGGUUUGGUUUCUUCAGACUUCCCACCAUGGUUUGCAGAUGCCACCCUCUUUCUGCAUCUGCACAUGGUCGUCCCUCUGUGCAUGAGCACCCCUGACCUCUCCUCCUCUUCUUACAAGGCCAUCGUCAUACUAGAUUGGGGCCUCACUUUAAGGACUUCAUUUUAACUUAAUAAUUUCUUUAAAUAGUUUAUGUUCAAAUAAGUCUGCCUUCUGAGCUACUGAAGGUUAGAGUUUCCACAUAUGAAUUUUAGGGAGAUACAAUUAAUCUUAGAAUAUAGAGAAAAAUUCAAACCUGAUAAACCAAAACCCAGUGUAUGAAACUCAAAGUUUCAACAGCAUUUCAAAUAAAUAAUUAAACUCACCUUCUUGCAGCAUUUUUAAUUUUCCUUAUGACUUCUCUAAAAUUAUUUUUUUCUGGUUUCUAUUCUGCUACACUAGUCAUUCCUUCCAAUUGCCUGUUCUUGCUCUUACACUUUUACUCACUCUCUAAAUAUUGUGAGACCCAGGAAUCAGUGAUGAGUGCUAGAGCCUCUUCUCCCUGCACUUGCUACAUGAGUACUUUAUGGCCAUGAAGGCCACCUUUGAGACAUAUGCCCUAAAUAGGCCUAUUAAUUACAUUCUUUUCUCCCAAACAAUCCUUUGUAUAAUUUUCUCUAUCUUACAUAAUGAUAUCAAUUGUUCAAAGAAAGAUAUAAAGUCUUUUUUAUUCCCUUCUUUACCUUAACUUUCACAUCUAAUUCAUUAGCAAGUCCGGUCAGCAAUAAUUCCAAAAUCCAUCCAAAUAUAGUCCACAUCACUCUCUAUAAUUUUCACCAUAGAUGAGAAAAUAUAAUUUUCUCCAAAUAGGUUCAAAUUUCCUAAGAUUCUUAAUUCCACAUUAUUCAUUAUUUCAUCAAAUCUGCAAAAAGAAGUCAGAAUAAUCUUUUAUACUAUUAUAUACUAUAUAAUUUUGUAUUAGCCAAUUAUAGCUGAAGAAAUAAACACCUGCCUAUUAGCAAUUAACAGACACUGCUAGUAAAAAAUCAGUAAGGACAUGGUUGAACUAAAUAGCACUAUCAAUUAACUAAAUCUAAUUGACCUUUAUGUAAUACCUAAUUUAAUGACAGUGGUAUAUGCAUUCUUCUCUAGCUCACAUGAAAUACUCACCAAGAUAGACCACAUCUUGGGCCACAAAAUGUACUUUAACAAAUUUAAAAUAAUAAUGAUCAUACAAAGUAUGAUGACAUAGCAUAAUAUAAUUAAACCAAAAAUUCAAAGCAGAAAGACACCUGAAAAAUUCCAGAAUACUUGGUGAUUAAAUGACACACUUUUAAAUAAUACAUAAGUUAAGGACAAGGCCACAAAACAAAUUUAAAUCUAGUUUAAAUUAAAGAAAUUGAAAAUGAAACUUAAUUUGUAGGAUGCAGCGGUGCUUUGAGGAAAAUUUAUAAUAUAAAAUGCAUAUAUUAGAAAAGAAGAAAGAUCUGCAAUCUACAACCUAAUCUUCUAUUUUAUGAUACUAGUGAAAGAAUAGCAAAUUAAAUGAAAGUAAGCAAAGCAAAAUUAAAGUUAGAAUAGGAGUCAAUAAAAUUGAAAACAGAAAAUCAAUAGAGAAAAUUUUAAAACAUAAAAAUAAAUUCUAUUAAAAGAUUAAUCAAGUUGAUAAAACUAUAUCUAGGAUAACAAAGAAAAGAAAGAAAACACAAAUUUCAAAUAUCAGAAAUGAAAGGGGGGCCAUCCCUACAGAUCUCAGACAUUAACAAGAUAAUAAAGAAGUAUUAUAAACAACUGUAAGGCCACUUGUUUAAUAACCUAGGAAAAUAUGACAAAUUCCUUGAAAAACAUAAUGUAUCAAAAUUCACAUAAGAACAAAUAGAUAAUAUGAAUAAAGCCUAUGUAUAUUAAAUAAAUUGAAUUGAUAAUUAAUAACCUUCCAAAACAGAAAGAACUAGGCCCAAAUGGGUUCAAUGGUGAAUUCUCACAAACUUAUAAGAAAAAGGCCAACUUUCUUCAAUCUCUUCCAGAAGAGAGAAGCAUAGGGAAUACUUUCUAAAUCAUUCAUUAAGGUUAACGUUAUUCUAACACCCAAACCAGGCAAAGAUAUUUAUUUAACAAAAGGAAAACUAUAAACCAAUGUCUAUCAUGAAUAUUGCUAAAAGUUUGAUAAAAUAUUAACAAAUCACAUUAAAAUGUAUAAAAUAAUUAUACACCACUUCUAGUUUGAGAGUUUUUAUUAUGAAUAGGUGUCUGGUUUAUCAGAGGCUUUGACUAAAUAUAUUUACAUGAUUUUCCUUCUUUACACUGUUAAUGUAACUUUUGAUUUUUGAAUGUUGAAUCAGUCUUGUAUGAUACACUGGUGCCUAUCAGAGGGUGGAGGGGAAGAGAAAGGAGAGGAUCAGGAAAACAUAACUAAUUGAUAGUAGGCUUAGUACCUGGAUGAUGAAAUAAUCAGUACAACAGACCCCAUGACACAUGCUUACCUAUGUAACAAACCUGCACAUGUACCCCUGAACUUAAAAGUUAAAUAAAAGAAACCUCUCAACUGUUUCCCAAACUUCUUGUACCAUUUUAUAUUUACACCAGCAAUGCAUGAGAGUAUUAAUUGUUUCGCAUCCUUGUCAACACCUGGUAUUAUUAAUCUUUUAAAUUUUAGUGAUCCUACUAGAUGUGUAGUGGUACAUAAUUGCCAUUUUAAUUUGUAGUUCCCUGAUAUCUAAUGAGGAUAAGCAUCUCUGUGUGUAUCUAUUGGCUAUUUUUAGAUCAUUUUUGUGAUAUUUAUUUUUAAAUCUUUUGCCUAGUCAUUUAAUUUAGCUUCUUGUCUUAUUAAUAAAUUAUGAGUUCAUGAAAAAUACUUUAAUUAUAAUCUUCUCAAGCCAUAGAAAAAUAUACAGAUGGCAAAUAAGCAGAUGAAAAGAUUUUCCACAUCAUAUGGCAAUAGCCAAUUGAAAAUUAAAAUGAUAAUGAAAUACCACUAGAUGCCUUUAGAAUAGUGAAAUUUCAAAACACAGACAACAUCAAAUGCUGGUGAGAAAGUGGAGCAACAGGGACUCUCAUUUAUUGCUGGGGGAGUACAAAACGGUAGAAUGAUUUGGCAUAGAGUUUGGCAGGUUUUUUCAAAGCUGCCAUAUGAUACAGCAACAAUACCCAAUUGGUAUUUAGUCAAAUGAAUUAAAAAUUUAUGUCCACUCAAAAACCUAGAAACAAAUGUUGACAGUAGCUUUAUUCGUAACUGCUAAAAUUCAGUAACAACCAAGAUGUUCUUCAAUAGAUUAAUAGAUUAACUGUGGUGCUUUCAUACAAUAGCAUAUUAUUCAGUGAUAAAAACAAUAUGAGCUAUUGACAUGAAAAAACACAGAAGAAGCUUAAAUGCAUCUUACUAAGUGCAACAAGCUAAACUGAAAAGACAGACGAGUGAUUGGCCAGGAGUUCCCUCUCAGAAAGGAGUGAAGUAAGAAUGAAUAGGAGAAGCACAAGGAAAUUCUAGGGCAGUGACACUAUUUUGUAAGAUAUUGUAAUGGCAGAUGUAAGCCAUACGAUUUGCAAAAAAAUAUGAAAUGUACAACACAAAGAGUAAUUACUAAUGUAAACCAUGGACUACAGUUAAGCAAUGUAUCAAUAUAGGUGUGCCAAUUGUCAUAAUUGUGCCACACUAAUACAAUACAUUAAUAAUAGGGGAAACUGAAGAACAAGAAGUUCUAAUUAAUUUUUGUAAACCUAAAACUGAUCUGAAAUAUAAAAUUUGUUAAUUUAGAUUAAAAACAAAAUACAUCCAAAAGAAGUCUACAUAAUUAGAAAUAAAAAAUAUCAAUUCCAUCAGACAAUUGCCAAUGGUUAAAUAAAGCUGGUUGAUGAUUACAACAUUUUAUCUAAUGGGAAAAAAAAAAGGAAGAAAGGAGACAACUUGAAUAAGCAGGGUGUUGCUCAAGACUUAGUUCCAGCACAUAAAAAAGGUUAAAUAAAGUUAUGUUUAUAUUUCCUCAAAGUUUGACUUCUCACCAUUAAUGACUAGAUGAUGAAUGAAAAUUAAACAUUGAAAUAUGAUUUUCAAGAUUACCUUAGAUUUAUAUUUGAUUUGCAAUUUUUUGAAUAGUUAUCUCCUAGUCUUCCCACUAGCAUCUGACUUUUUCUGUUUCUAAUCAGUUUUUUUCACUGCUUCAACCUUGUAUCAAAAAAACACUUUCCUUGUUUUGAUUUUGGAACUCUUUAAAAAUUACUGAACUUGUAUUUAUUAUUUUUUUGAGAAUGCAUCCAACAUGCCUGCAUAUUCAUCCCCUUCCUAAAUCUAAGUCCCUUUGCAAUAGCUCCAGCCAUAAAGAAAUGGUGCUUCUUUCCCUCCUACUGAAUUUGGUCUGAGUAUUUUUGAGAAAUAAAAUACAACGGAAGUGGUGGUAUGCUAUUUAUGAGCCUUGGCUUUUAAAGGUUUUGAAUCCUUCUACUCCCUCUUUUAAAACACUGACAACAAAAUUGAUAGACCGCUAGUAA